GCCUCUCAGCCCGCCCUGAGGCGGCGAGGACGCGCCUCAGCCCGCCCUGAGGCGGCGGUGGCUGGUCGCCGUGUCGCGACAUGGGGGACGAUUUGGCGUCGGAAGGCGACAGCCUGCUUCAGUCAGAGAAGGAGUUUCAUGAUGCAGCGAAGCGAAAUGAUAUGGCCAGGAUGGAGGAACUCAUCAGGAGAGGAGUUGACAUCAAAGCCAAAAAUAAUAUGGACCGGAGUGCCCUGCACUGGGCUGCAGGAGCAGGGAGCGUGGAUGCUGUGCGGCUGCUCCUGGAUCACGAUGUCCCUGUGGAAGAUGAGGACAGUUUUGGAAUGAAUGCCCUUCUCCUGUCUGCCUGGUUUGGCCACCUCCGUGUCCUGCAGAUCCUUGUCAAUGCUGGGGCCAAGAUUAACCGUGUCAAUAGGAAUGGUAGGAACCUGCUUCACUGUGCAGCUCAGAGGGGACACAUCCAGAUCAUGGAGUUCAUCACGGAGGACUUGGAGGAUGUGUGUGUGGAUGAGACAGACAAGAUGGACAGGACAGCGUUUCACCUGGCCGCAGAGUACGGGCAGCUGGAGGUGGUGGAGUUCCUCAUUCGACUGGGUUGUUCCCACAGUGCCAAAGACAAGGAAGAAAACACAGCAUUGCAUUUGGCUGCUAAAAAUGGACACCUCUCUGUGCUGGAGAAGAUUAUAGAUGUUGGAGUGGACCUUGAUGAAAAAAACUCAGAAGGGCUCACGGCUCUGCACCUGGCUGCUGAGGGGGGACACAGCCACUGUGUGAAGCUGCUCGUGGAAGCAGGAGCUGAUGUCAAUGCCCAAACUCAGAAAAAGAUGAACUGCCUUCAUUAUGCAGCCCUGCAUGGCUAUGAGGAGAUAGCCAGGAUCCUCAUGGAUGCAGGAAUCCACACGGACGCUCUCAAUCACCAAAAUGCAUCAGCGAUGCACAUCGCAGUCCUGCGGAACUUCCCAGCCAUGGUGAAACUCUUCAUCAGUGCAGAGUGUGACCUUGACAUUCCAGAUAAUAGGCAGCAGACCUCACUCCACAUUGCUGCAGAGCACGGCAGGCAGGACAUUGCUGAGAUGAUUCUCAUUGCAGGAGUUAAUCUGAAGCUAGCAGACAAGCAAGGGAAAACAUCUCUGGAUGUUGCUGCCCGAGGCAAUCACAUCAUCUUGGUGGACAUGAUUAUCAAAGCAGAUCGAUUUUACAAAUGGGAGAAGGACAACCUGAACAGCGACUCUGGCUCGUGGGUGGCAAAGCAUUUGACCUUUAAGCAGGAUCACAGGCUGGAAACACAGCACAUUCGCUCAGUCAUGUGGAGAUUAGCCACUAAGUACCUCAAACCUGGGGAAUGGAAGAAGCUGGCACAUUACUGGAAAUUCACGGAUGACCAUAUUAGGGCCAUUGAGCAACAAUGGACAGGCACUAAGAGCUACAGGGAACACGGCCACAGAAUGCUGCUGAUCUGGCUCCAUGGUGUGAUCACUGCAGGAGAAAAUCCAAUCAAGGGACUGUAUGAAGGCCUGUUGGGGAUUGGGAGAAGAGAUUUAGCAGACAACACAACCAGAGGAAAGCUUCAGUGAAGCCAACUCCCAUGAGCUGAAAGCACCUGCUCUGCCCCCUUGCUUCCAUUACAUAAAGUAUCCGGAACAAAGCAAACGCAGACUCCACCUCUCCACGAAAAUGCACAGCAAUGUAACACCAGGAGCAUCCUCAGCUGCUCUCAGAUCUACAGGAAAAACACUUCUCUGCUGCUGAGAGAAGGCAGAUGCAACCUAAGGGCUUCUUGUCACAAACUACCGGCACUGCUGCAGCCCUCUGGCCAGGAAAUGACAAGGGUAAAACAAAUGCUCAUGGUCAAAAAGGCCUCUACACAGAAGGGAGAUUUUUAUCAGCAAUUUCAAAAGGUCUGGGUACUGUCAUGAGUUUGGUGAGUGAGCCUUACUCGUCAUACUGCAGCAGGAAAUAUUACAGUUUUACUGUAACUUGUCUACAGCACAUUUUUAUAUAUAAAUUUCCAAUUGUCAAGCUCUUAAUUUAAUGAGGGCAAAGGCUUUGUUUUCAAGAAUGUUCUUUACUUACCUUAUUUGUGGGAGGUAUCUCACAUCUUGGGCAUGUCCAUACAUUCCCACCAUAAGAGAACUUCAGCAAAAUCAAAGCUACUCUUUGGUCUUUUUGGAACCUGAGGGGUUGGGAUCUUGAAUGCUUUGACUCUUCACAAAAAGCUGGAGAAGAAUAUUAACAUAUGCUGUUUAUAAAUGUACAUUAACAUGUACUGUUUAUAAAUCAUUAGGUGACUAACCUUUUCAAAACAUCUUUGCAUUUGUCAUGUAAUCCUUCAUAUUUAUUUUUUACAGCAUCCCAAGGGGAAAAUAAUGUCUGUAAUUCAAUAAAUCUAGAUUUUACCCUUUAAAA
Molecule: RNA transcript, 2406 nt
Organism: Hirundo rustica (Barn swallow)
Lineage: Eukaryota; Metazoa; Chordata; Aves; Passeriformes; Hirundinidae
Gene: ANKDD1A
Gene name: ankyrin repeat and death domain containing 1A
Exons: 16
Source: RefSeq, a predicted model, not a curated record